GAGAACUUGCCCUUCGGGGUAUAUCUCCCACCCUAUGUUUACAUACCUUUGUUGCUUUGGCGGGCCCGUCUCACGACCACCGGCAUUUUUGCUGGUCAGUGCCCGCCAGAGGACCCCAACUCUAAAUUUUUUGUCGUCUGAGUACUAUAUAAUAGUUAAAACUUUCAACAACGGAUCUCUUGGUUCU
RNAcentral lists this unclassified non-coding RNA (187 nucleotides) under rhizosphere metagenome. RNAcentral's name for it is "partial ribosomal RNA internal transcribed spacer region". The record is from RNAcentral.